AUGCCAGUAGGUCUAGCUCUGGAGGGUUCAGCGCCCGAGGCAAAUAGAACUGGAAGGAAGGUGAACUUCACUCAGCUGGCGGUGAUCAGCAUGGCGAGUCUGAAAGUCUUCCUGCAAAGGACCAUGACGCUGAUGAUGCCCAAAGCAGGCUGUGAAGAACAAACCCCACAACUGGUUGUUUAUAGAAGGCCACUGUUCUGUGAAAUGUGCCAUGCCAUCUCGACCUCCACAUGAGAGACAUAAUCUUUAAGGAUCACUCCACAGGUUAUUAUUUAUAAAGAUAAAAAAGGAGGCUUUUUAGAAUUCAAUUUUUGUGUGGUUUGCUGAGAUAGGAUCUUGCUAUGUAGUUCAGGCUGGCCUUGAACUUAGUAUGUAGCCCAGGCUGCCACUGAACCCACAGCAAUUCUCCUGAGUGCUGGGACCAGCUACAAAGUAAUGGGCUGGAUUUUAAAAAGUCAAGACUAGCAGCCAGGCAUGGUGGCACAUGCCUGUGAUCCUAGCACUUGGGAAGCUGAGGCAAGUGGAUCACCAGUAGUUCGAGGUCAGCCUGGGCUACAUAGUGAAUUUGAGGCCAACCUAAAUGACACAGCAAGACCUCACCUCAAAAACAAACAAACCAACCAACCAAAGAGAACAAAAAGGUCAAGAUCAUGAAAGACUGAGGGGAGGAACUUACAUUAACAUUAAAGGGAAAUAAAAUUAAAUUAAAGGGGAGGAGAGCCACGCCUUCUCCUGCCCCAGCUGCCAUCACUCCAGUACCGGGAGGUAGCUGUGAACCCCAUAACUCCCCCACCCCUGCACUCAGACCUCCUGAUUGUGCCAGUCUUUGGAUCCACUCUGCAGAGGCAGAGGUGGCCAUCAAGGGCAUUUUUCUGAGUUCCCAACUUUGAACAUCUUUAAAGAAAGGGCG
This 910-nucleotide long non-coding RNA is filed under the name Fukomys damarensis (Damara mole-rat). RNAcentral describes it as "lncRNA (ENSFDAG00000030277.1)". Lineage: Eukaryota; Metazoa; Chordata; Mammalia; Rodentia; Bathyergidae. The record is from RNAcentral.